Molecule: long non-coding RNA, 679 nt
Organism: Zea mays
Lineage: Eukaryota; Viridiplantae; Streptophyta; Magnoliopsida; Poales; Poaceae
Exons: 5
Source: RefSeq, a predicted model, not a curated record
AUAAUUCUUUUGUUUUUUCUCUGAAAAAUUAGAGAAAUUAAUAACUUAUUUUCCUGUUCCUACAACUUAAUAAAGUCUCAUUACAAGUCAUGUUUUUAAGCAGGCUAUGCGUUCUUUCUCCGAGAAAGGUAAUCCUUCUUUUAUCAAUUUGAAGAAAACCAUUUGUAUUAUGAUUUUUCUAUCCUAAUUCCUGGAAACUGAAUUCUGAAUUUUCUAUUUCUUGUAAUGUUCAUUUCAGAUAUUCUUUCUCUAAUUGCUAAACUUGUACUAAGGGGUGUUGAACAAAAAGAUUUUUGUCGGAGGCGUUGCUUGGGAGACAACUGAAGUGUUCAGGGCUCAGGGUGCCUUGGAAAUUUAUAUGAGCCAGCAACUUAAUGAUUGCACCAGCUGAAGUUGGUGCAUAAGGCUGCAACACCAUCUAGUGGAGGGUGUUCUGGACAAAGAAAGCUUGUACCUUAAAACAGGAGGAUACAAGAAGCUGGAGUGGUUGUCUGAAGGCUUUUGAACUGCUUGAAGCAUUAGUGUAGCUUUGGUGCUUUUGUGACUGAUCAGCUCUAGAGCAGCUAGAGUGAUAUAGUUGUGGGCUUUUGAACAAUCGUUGGAGUGAUAUGAAACAUUAGUGAUCUAGUUGUGAAUGAUAUUAUAAUUGUGAUGCUUUUGUGAAUAUAUAAUUGUGGUG